CACCAGGUCAGGACACGGUAAGGAUUGACGGACUGAAGGCUCUUUCUCGAUUCCGUGGAAAGUGGUGCAUGGCCGUUUUGGUUGGUGGAUCGAUCCGUCUGGUUAAUUCCGUUAACGAACGAGACCUCGGCACUCCGAAUAGCGCGGCGGACGUCGCGGCCUCCGGGCCGUCUUCCGCACGAGCUUCUUAGAGGGACCGUCCCCCGCCGGGGAAGGAGGUGCGAGGCAACGACAGGUCUGUGAUGCCCUUAGAUGUUCUGGGCCGCACGCGCAUUACACUGACGCGUCCAACGGGUGACUCCCGACCCGAAGGGGCCGGGGAAUCCGCAAGGCGCGUCGUGAUGGGGAUUGAACGUUGCAAUUGUUGUUCACGAACGAGGAAUUCCUAGUAGGCGCGGGUCAUCAACCCCGCGCCGAUUACGUCCCUGCCCUUUGUACACACCGCCCG
RNAcentral lists this ribosomal RNA (448 nucleotides) under uncultured eukaryote. RNAcentral's name for it is "bacterial SSU rRNA". It matches the Rfam family "Eukaryotic small subunit ribosomal RNA", at positions 1216 to 1675 of the family's 1831-position model. The record is from RNAcentral.